Molecule: long non-coding RNA, 393 nt
Organism: Urocitellus parryii (Arctic ground squirrel)
Lineage: Eukaryota; Metazoa; Chordata; Mammalia; Rodentia; Sciuridae
Source: RefSeq, a predicted model, not a curated record
UCGGGCACGCACGGGAACCUGGAUCCGGCGAUCCUCCCGCCCCCGUGGCACUUCCGGUGCGUCACGGCUCCAUAAGAGCGCGUGCGCGGCGAGUUUCGCCCUUUUUCGUCAGGCGUCGUCUCGGGUGCUGUAUCUGCAUCGUCCUGGUCGCCCAGCUCGUAACUGGCCACAGCUCGUGCCGAGACGUCAAGAAAUCCAGAGUGACGGUGGGUAAAGGCCUAAGCAGCAUCUUGCAGUGGAUCACCGAACCUAAAUUUUAGUUGGGGAAUGGGUAUUUUGAGUAACAUUCUGGAAACUAUCGGGGCACUACUUAUAAUAUGAGUCUGAAUUAUUUUGAAUUUUGUAUUUCAGAUGCAUCCUUGGUAUGAUUGAAUAAAAUGGCUCRCAUGACUA